ACCUGGCUGGCUCAGUGUUAGAGCAUGUGACUCUUGAUCUCAAGGUUGUGAGUUCAAGCCCCAUGCUGGGUA
RNAcentral lists this transfer RNA (72 nucleotides) under Ailuropoda melanoleuca (giant panda). It matches the Rfam family "tRNA". Rfam says of the family: Transfer RNA (tRNA) molecules are approximately 80 nucleotides in length. Their secondary structure includes four short double-helical elements and three loops (D, anti-codon, and T loops). Further hydrogen bonds mediate the characteristic L-shaped molecular structure. tRNAs have two regions of fundamental functional importance: the anti-codon, which is responsible for specific mRNA codon recognition, and the 3' end, to which the tRNAs corresponding amino acid is attached (by aminoacyl-tRNA synthetases). tRNAs cope with the degeneracy of the genetic code in two manners: having more than one tRNA (with a specific anti-codon) for a particular amino acid; and 'wobble' base-pairing, i.e. permitting non-standard base-pairing at the 3rd anti-codon position. The record is from Rfam by way of RNAcentral. Lineage: Eukaryota; Metazoa; Chordata; Mammalia; Carnivora; Ursidae.